RNAcentral lists this transfer RNA (77 nucleotides) under bacterium. RNAcentral's name for it is "tRNA-Met". It matches the Rfam family "tRNA". From Rfam's summary of the family: Transfer RNA (tRNA) molecules are approximately 80 nucleotides in length. Their secondary structure includes four short double-helical elements and three loops (D, anti-codon, and T loops). RNAcentral also lists the same sequence under 1 other name. The record is from RNAcentral.
GGGCCUGUAGCUAAAUGGUUACGGCAGCGUGCUCAUAACACGACGAUAUGGGGGUUCAAGUCCCUCCAGGCCCACCA